CAGUAUCUGCCCAGGUGUAGGAGACAUCUGACCUCUGAUCCCUGCGAUAAGACGGGCAAAGAAGCCGUUCUGUACUUUGAAAUUUUGUCAUACAACAGGCAGCAGGCCAGAUCAGGACCGCAAGCUAUAGUUUGCCAUCCCUGAUCUUUUCCAAUGAAGUCACCCUGAGGGCAGAGGAAUACGAACAAGUGUGUUUUGGAUAUCCCUGAAGCAGACACCACAAGCUAGACAUUUUAUGAAGGUCUGUUUAUCACACUAUCAACUAAAGUACACAUUAAUUUUAAUGAAUUAUUUUAGUAGAUAUUUAUGUCAGCAUUAAUGAAAAACAUUCAAUUACUACAUUACAUAACCUUUCUAGUCAAUUUUUGAAUAAAUUAAUGCUGCUUGGUUUUAUCUGCAACACAAUACAGGGUAAUGUUCAAUAUUUCCAGUAACACAAACCUGAGAAAGGGAAAUGAUCCAUUAUAGUAUGAAGCAGUACUGAAAUCAGCAGUUUUCCCAUAGCAGGUACUGUCUUCUUUUAGUUCUGUGACACAGAUGGCUUGAUCACAGUAAAAUCUGACUAUCCAACUUCCCAGAAAUUAAGAAAGUGUUUCUUUCUCUUUAGAGUGAUGCUCAAGCCUCCAGCAUGAACUGUUUGCAUCAGGUUUUUCUCUAUUUCUAUUCUCUCAUCACAGUAGAGUCCUGACCCCCUGAGUGCUGGGCUCAUUGAUUCAGCCUUUAAUUUUCAUGCUCUGAUCUGACUCAAGUAGCACAAAUAAAUUCAUAUAAAUGUAAAACCCAUGCCAUCAUUUCACAGUAUGUUUCAAGCUCAAGAUGUCUCCGGUAAUUUAAUACUCAGUCAAAAACAACCUGCUGCAUUUUGCUUCCCAUUCUAUUUUAUCCCAGUACUUAAAUUUUAUAACCUUAUUUGGGUUUUUUAAAAUCAAAGCUUCCUACAAGCCUAGUAAAUGCUCAAGCAUGUUUCGUUACUUUUCCUAUUUUGCAAAAUGUAACAUUUAACUGAAUCUUUCCAAUUUUAUAUCAAAUGAUGAAACACAGCUAAACUGAAUCCAGCCCCUACUAGCGUGUUAAUAUAGGAGAUUUUGUACAAAAAGUCUGCCAUGUCCAUCCUGUUGCAGAAAUAACCAAUCCUGGGACCACCAUUUGUUGCAAGGCUCUCAAACAGUACUAAAUGUAUUACUUGUAGUGGAAUGUGUAAAUUGGCCUGGUCUUUCCACACACUCACAGCCUGCAUCCCCUCAUAGCAAAAUUUUUGUCUCUCAUAUCUGUUGUAUGUUCAUACUCAGAACAAGCCAAUGCAAAAAAGGAGCAAGAUAGCAAAUUUGUUUUAACUUUUUAUUAAAACGCUUAAGAUACAGAUUGACUCUCUUCUGUAAAUGGCUGUUUUAUUUUUCCUGAAAUAGGACAUAUACGCACUCUGAUAAAACAGAAUGAAAAGUCUCAAUUCAUGGGAGUUCCUGUACAAAGCUCUGAUCCUGUUAGGAGCUGAGCUCCUUACAGCAGCUUCUUUCCUCUAUUUUAUCAUAGGAACUGUGUUUUCUGUGGGGCAAGAAACAGACAGGCGCCACUUGAUUUUUCAAUCCCAGCUCUUUCUCCGGUGGCCAAAAUAAACCACUUUCACAAAGAGCUGCCCUGUGUAGAAUCCAUAGUUUUCUAGCUUGCUAAAAAUUGACUAGGGACAAAUAGAAAAAAAAAAGAAGAAGAAGAAAACUAA
Long non-coding RNA from Capra hircus (goat), 1717 nucleotides. RefSeq lists it as uncharacterized. NCBI's taxonomy places the organism in Eukaryota, Metazoa, Chordata, Mammalia, Artiodactyla, Bovidae. The record is from RefSeq and is a predicted model, not a curated record. The transcript has 2 exons.